UUGGAGGGCAAGUCUGGUGCCAGCAGCCGCGGUAAUUCCAGCUCCAAUAGCGUAUAUUAAAGUUGUUGCAGUUAAAAAGCUCGUAGUUGAACCUUGGGUCUGGCUGGCCGGUCCGCUUCGCGGCGUGCACUGGUCCGGCUGGACCUUUCCUUCUGGGGAAUCCCAUGGCCUUCACUGGCUGUGGGGGGAACCAGGACUUUUACUGUGAAAAAAUUAGAGUGUUCAAAGCAGGCCUUUGCUCGGAUACAUUAGCAUGGAAUAAUAGAAUAGGACGCGCGGUUCUAUUUUGUUGGUUUCUA
This 299-nucleotide ribosomal RNA is filed under the name fungal sp. Its description in RNAcentral is "partial 18S ribosomal RNA". It matches the Rfam family "Eukaryotic small subunit ribosomal RNA", at positions 548 to 853 of the family's 1831-position model. Lineage: Eukaryota; Fungi. The record is from RNAcentral.